GGAGAGUGGCUGUGGAGAAGCGAGUGUGCGUAAGAAGAGGAGUGGCGGAGUUUGGGCUGAGUGGAAAAACACGGUCUGCACUUGAAUCCAUCUGUUAGCCCUGAGAAAAUGUAGAAGAAGAUGAGCUUCUGUGUAGAACUGAAGAAGCUUCUCGGAUGAGAGGUGAAACGUCUUCAAGCAACUUAAAGAAGUCCAGACGCUUUUCUUUCCAAGCUCCUUAGACUAUGAUGACCUGGAUGACUGACAACCUUCACAGACAACUUCACUCAUGGAUACUGAAGUGUUUUCUUAUUGUUUGUAAUAGCUGUGUUCUUCCACAGGGAGGAGCUGUAAAGCACAUUCCCACUGUUUUCCUUAAGGUUUCUGUACCUUUUGGUUUCAUCAGUAGU
Long non-coding RNA from Oreochromis aureus, 389 nucleotides. RefSeq lists it as uncharacterized. The transcript has 3 exons. The record is from RefSeq and is a predicted model, not a curated record. Lineage: Eukaryota; Metazoa; Chordata; Actinopteri; Cichliformes; Cichlidae.